Molecule: unclassified non-coding RNA, 224 nt
Filed under: Rhodotorula toruloides
Lineage: Eukaryota; Fungi; Basidiomycota; Microbotryomycetes; Sporidiobolales; Sporidiobolaceae
Source: RNAcentral
CUUGCCGUCGCUCUCGCUGGCUGUGACUCGCUCCAUUGGAUUCUCUGUCCCCCGUGCCAUCCUGCCGCGCCGCUUGCACGACUUCCCGCCUCCUUGCGCCGUUCUCUCGACCUCAUCAGACUUCGCACGAGGCGCCGUUCAGCGACGAAACGUUGCGAUUUACGGACGCUUCGCGCGCGGGAACAGGCGGACUGACGCAGCUCGUCGCCAAGGAAGAACUUUGG